RNAcentral lists this ribosomal RNA (454 nucleotides) under uncultured bacterium. RNAcentral's name for it is "bacterial SSU rRNA". It matches the Rfam family "Bacterial small subunit ribosomal RNA", at positions 340 to 786 of the family's 1533-position model. The record is from RNAcentral.
UACGGGAGGCAGCAGUGGGGAAUAUUGCACAAUGGGCGAAAGCCUGAUGCAGCUAUGCCGCGUGUAUGAAGAAGGCCUUAGGGUUGUAAAGUACUUUCAUCGGGGAGGAAAACAAAACUAAUAAUUUUAUUUCUUGACGUUACCCGAAAAAGAAGCACCGGCUAACUCCGUGCCAGCAGCCGCGGUAAUACGGAGGGUGCUAGCGUUAAUCAGAAUUACUGGGCGUAAAGAGCACGUAGGUGGUUUUUUUAAAGUCAGAUGUGAAAUCCCUGGGCUUAACCUGGAACUGCAUUUUGAAACUGAAAUACUAGAGUAUCGUAGAGGGAGGUAGAAUUCUAGGUGUAGCGGUGAAAUGCGUAGAUAUCUGGAGGAAUACCUGUGGCGAAAGCGGCCUCCUAAACGAAUACUGACACUGAGGUGCGAAAGCGUGGGGAGCAAACAGGGAUUAGAUACC